UUACUUAGGGUCCAGCUGGUUGCUUGAGA
RNAcentral lists this small RNA (29 nucleotides) under Bombyx mori (domestic silkworm). Its description in RNAcentral is "ovarian small RNA-36661". The record is from RNAcentral. Lineage: Eukaryota; Metazoa; Arthropoda; Insecta; Lepidoptera; Bombycidae.